ACGCUGGCGGCAGGCUUAACACAUGCAAGUCGAACGAAGUUAGGAAGCUUGCUUCUGAUACUUAGUGGCGGACGGGUGAGUAAUGCUUAGGAAUCUGCCUAGUAGUGGGGGAUAACUUGGGGAAACCCAAGCUAAUACCGCAUACGACCUACGGGUGAAAGGGGGCUUUUAGCUCUCGCUAUUAGAUGAGCCUAAGUCAGAUUAGCUGGUUGGUGGGGUAAAGGCCUACCAAGGCGACGAUCUGUAGCUGGUCUGAGAGGAUGAUCAGCCACACUGGGACUGAGACACGGCCCAGACUCCUACGGGAGGCAGCAGUGGGAAUAUUGGACAAUGGGCGAAAGCCUGAUCCAGCCAUGCCGCGUGUGUGAAGAAGGCCUUUUGGUUGUAAAGCACUUUAAGUGGGGAGGAAAAGCUUAUGGUUAAUACCCAUAAGCCCUGACGUUACCCACAGAAUAAGCACCGGCUAACUCUGUGCCAGCAGCCGCGGUAAUACAGAGGGUGCAAGCGUUAAUCGGAAUUACUGGGCGUAAAGCGCGCGUAGGUGGUUAUUUAAGUCAGAUGUGAAAGCCCCGGGCUUAACCUGGGAACUGCAUCUGAUACUGGAUAACUAGAGUAGGUGAGAGGGGAGUAGAAUUCCAGGUGUAGCGGUGAAAUGCGUAGAGAUCUGGAGGAAUACCGAUGGCGAAGGCAGCUCCCUGGCAUCAUACUGACACUGAGGUGCGAAAGCGUGGGUAGCAAACAGGAUUAGAUACCCUGGUAGUCCACGCCGUAAACGAUGUCUACCAGUCGUUGGGUCUUUUAAAGACUUAGUGACGCAGUUAACGCAAUAAGUAGACCGCCUGGGGAGUACGGCCGCAAGGUUAAAACUCAAAUGAAUUGACGGGGGCCCGCACAAGCGGUGGAGCAUGUG
RNAcentral lists this ribosomal RNA (910 nucleotides) under uncultured bacterium. RNAcentral describes it as "bacterial SSU rRNA". It matches the Rfam family "Bacterial small subunit ribosomal RNA", at positions 33 to 943 of the family's 1533-position model. The record is from RNAcentral.